UAAAACUUUCAACAACGGAUCUCUUGGUUCCGGCAUCGAUGAAGAACGCAGCGAAAUGCGAUAACUAAUGUGAAUUGCAGAAUUCAGUGAAUCAUCGAGUCUUUGAACGCACAUUGCGCCCCCUGGUAUUCCGGGGGGCAUGCCUGUCCGAGCGUCAUU
RNAcentral lists this ribosomal RNA (159 nucleotides) under Penicillium glabrum. RNAcentral describes it as "5.8S ribosomal RNA". It matches the Rfam family "5.8S ribosomal RNA". From Rfam's summary of the family: 5.8S ribosomal RNA (5.8S rRNA) is a component of the large subunit of the eukaryotic ribosome. Lineage: Eukaryota; Fungi; Ascomycota; Eurotiomycetes; Eurotiales; Aspergillaceae. The record is from RNAcentral.